AGCGAACGCUGGCGGCAGGCCUAACACAUGCAAGUCGAACGAACCUUUCGGGGUUAGUGGCGGACGGGUGUGUAACACGUGGGAACGUGCCUUUAGGUUCGGAAUAACUCAGGGAAACUUGUGCUAAUACCGAAUGUGCCCUUCGGGGGAAAGAUUAAUCGCCUUUAGAGCGGCCCGCGUCGGAUUAGCUAGUUGGUUGAGGUAAUGGCUCACCAAGGCGACGAUCAGUAGCUGGUCUGAGAGGAUGAUCAGCCACAUUGGGACUGAGACACGGCCCAAACUCCUACGGGAGGCAGCAGUGGGGAAUCUUGCGCAAUGGGCGAAAGCCUGACGCAGCCAUGCCGCGUGAAUGAUGAAGGUCUUAGGAUUGUAAAAUUCUUUCACCGGGGACGAUAAUGACGGUACCCGGAGAAGAAGCCCCGGCUAACUUCGUG
RNAcentral lists this ribosomal RNA (434 nucleotides) under uncultured bacterium. Its description in RNAcentral is "partial 16S ribosomal RNA". It matches the Rfam family "Bacterial small subunit ribosomal RNA", at positions 29 to 507 of the family's 1533-position model. The record is from RNAcentral.